AAAUGAAUAGACGGGGGCCCGCACAAGCGGCGGAGCAUGUUGCUUAAUUCGAGGCAACGCGAAGAACCUUACCUAGGCUUGACAUGUAGAGAAAAGCCGUAGAGAUACGGUGUCCUUUUGGGCUCUACACAGGUGGUGCAUGGCUGUCGAAAGCUCGUGUCGUGAGAUGUUGGGUUAAGUCCCGCAACGAGCGCAACCCUUGUCCUAUGUUGCCAGCGGAUAAUGCCGGGGACUCGUAGGAGACUGCCGGGGUCAACUCGGAGGAAGGUGGGGACGACGUCAAGUCAUCAUGCCCCUUAUGUCUAGGGCUGCAAACAUGCUACAAUGGCUGGUACAACGGGCUGCGAAACCGCGAGGUCAAGCGAAUCCCACAAAGCCAGUCUCAGUUCGGAUUGGAGUCUGCAACUCGACUCCAUGAAGUUGGAGUCGCUAGUAAUCCCGGAUCAGCAUUGCCGGGGUGAAUACGUUCCCGGGCCUUGUACACACCGCCCGU
This 493-nucleotide ribosomal RNA is filed under the name uncultured bacterium. RNAcentral's name for it is "bacterial SSU rRNA". It matches the Rfam family "Bacterial small subunit ribosomal RNA", at positions 903 to 1397 of the family's 1533-position model. The record is from RNAcentral.